Molecule: ribosomal RNA, 253 nt
Filed under: uncultured bacterium
Lineage: Bacteria
Description: partial 16S ribosomal RNA
Rfam family: Bacterial small subunit ribosomal RNA
Source: RNAcentral
UACAGAGGUCUCAAGCGUUGUUCGGAUUUAUUGGGCGUAAAGGGUGCGUAGGCGGCGCGGUAAGUCGGGCGCGAAAUCUUGGAGCUUAACUCCGAAACUGCAUUCGAUACUGCCGCGCUUGAGGACUGGAGAGGAGACUGGAAUUUACGGUGUAGCGGUGAAAUGCGUAGAUAUCGUAAGGAAGACCAGUGGCGAAGGCGGGGCUCUGGACAGUUCCUGACGCUGAGGCACGAAGGCCAGGGGAGCAAACGGG